This 29-nucleotide non-coding RNA is filed under the name Mus musculus (house mouse). Lineage: Eukaryota; Metazoa; Chordata; Mammalia; Rodentia; Muridae. The record is from RNAcentral.
UGUUUAACGAACUACUAUCUGCUGGUGAA